GAUGAAGAACGCAGCGAAAUGCGAUAAGUAAUGUGAAUUGCAGAAUUCAGUGAAUCAUCGAAUCUUUGAACGCACAUUGCGCCCCCUGGUAUUCCGGGGGGCAUGCCUGUCCGAGCGUCAUUACAACCCUCAAGCUCAGCUUGGUGUUGGGCCCCGCCGCCCCGGCGGGCCCUAAAGUCAGUGGCGGUGCCGUCCGGCUCCGAGCGUAGUAAUUCUUCUCGCUCUGGAGGUCCGGUCGUGUGCUUGCCAGCAACCCCCAAUUUUUUUCAGGUUGACCUCGGAUUAGGUAGGGAUACCCGCUGAACUUAAGCAUAUCAAUAAGCGGAGGA
This 329-nucleotide unclassified non-coding RNA is filed under the name soil metagenome. Its description in RNAcentral is "partial contains 5.8S ribosomal RNA, internal transcribed spacer 2, and large subunit ribosomal RNA". The stretch from base 1 to 120 matches the Rfam family "5.8S ribosomal RNA", at positions 35 to 154 of the family's 154-position model. The record is from RNAcentral.